UAGGGAAUAUUGCAAAAUGGGCGAAAGCCCGAUGCAGCAACGCCGCGUGGGCGAUGAAGGCCUUCGGGUCGUAAAGCCCUUUUUGAGGGGAUGAGGAAGGACAGUACCCUCAGAAUAAGCCUCGGCUAACUACGUGCCAGCAGCCGCGGUAAAACGUAGGAGGCGAGCGUUAUCCGGAUUUACUGGGCGUAAAGCGCGUGCAGGCGGAUUGGAGAGUUGGAUGUGAAAGCUCCCGGCUUAACUGGGAGAGGUCGUUCAAUACUUCCAGUCUUGAGUGCAGUAGAGGGAAGUGGAAUUCCGGGUGUAGUGGUGAAAUGCGUAGAUAUCCGGAGGAACACCAGUGGCGAAAGCGGCUUCCUGGACUGUAACUGACGCUCAGACGCGAAAGCUAGGGCAGCAAACG
Molecule: ribosomal RNA, 403 nt
Filed under: uncultured bacterium
Lineage: Bacteria
Description: bacterial SSU rRNA
Rfam family: Bacterial small subunit ribosomal RNA
Source: RNAcentral